This 112-nucleotide non-coding RNA is filed under the name Thermaerobacter marianensis. Its description in RNAcentral is "SAM-I sequence". It matches the Rfam family "SAM riboswitch aptamer (S box leader)". From Rfam's summary of the family: The SAM riboswitch is found upstream of a number of genes which code for proteins involved in methionine or cysteine biosynthesis in Gram-positive bacteria. RNAcentral also lists the same sequence under 1 other name. Lineage: Bacteria; Bacillati; Bacillota; Clostridia; Eubacteriales; Clostridiales Family XVII. Incertae Sedis. The record is from RNAcentral.
CUCUUAUCCAGAGCGGUCGAGGGACGGGCCCGAUGACGCCGCGGCAACCGGCGACUCCGUCGUGCGGUGCCAACUCCCGCGGCUCCCCUGUGGGGAUGCCGAGAGAUGAGAG